AGCCGCUGGGCCAGUUCCCGCAGGGCCGGGCGUUGCAGUUUGCCCAUGGGGUUGCGGGGCAGGGAUUCCACCCGGUGCAGACGGCGGGGGCGGCGG
RNAcentral lists this transfer RNA (96 nucleotides) under Azospira sp. I13. The record is from RNAcentral. Lineage: Bacteria; Pseudomonadati; Pseudomonadota; Betaproteobacteria; Rhodocyclales; Rhodocyclaceae.